GUAUAGUACGCUAUAUAUAUUUAUAACUAUUUUUACUAUUCUUUGUAUUUUACCAUUUUGUCAACGAGCGUCUGUUCAUUCGGUUCGCUGUCGUCUUACUGUGUUGUGUUGCGUACGUGUGUGUUUGUCAAAUUUAAUAUUAAUGACGGAAGCUCCUAAUAAAGAAAUUCGACUGUCUGGUGGAGCAAGGCGAUUAGUUAAAGAAAAAUAAAAGGCAGUUAAAGCCAAUCGAAGUUUAUUGUUCUUCCUAAAAUCGAACGUCAGUCAAGAACAAUCUUCGGAAUAUAAUUGUAGUGAAGAGGAAGAUAAUCCACUCACUUUACCAACUCUUGGUACGGACAAACGAAUUGAACUUGCCCAAGAAGAUGUUUCAUAAUCGAAAUUAAUUGAUAGAUGCCAUGAUUGUACACCAGAUCCAUAUUUAUUUAUUGAUACUGUAUUAACACCUCAAAUAAUCAAAACUCUUGUUGAAAUAGGGCCUUAUCAACCUGGUUUUAAUAAUAAUGAUUAUGUUUUUGAAUUGUUUUAUGUGUCCGGCAAAAAUUUUUUAGCAGGCUUAAACUUCUCAAGACGUACCUUCACUCAACUAUGACUGAAGACCGGCUAUCAAAUUUGGCAAUAUUAAGCAUAGAAAGCAACAUAGCUCAAACAAUACAUUUGCAUCAAU
Molecule: non-coding RNA, 667 nt
Organism: Cinara cedri
Lineage: Eukaryota; Metazoa; Arthropoda; Insecta; Hemiptera; Aphididae
Source: the annotation of a GenBank genome assembly